RNAcentral lists this ribosomal RNA (561 nucleotides) under uncultured Streptococcus sp. RNAcentral's name for it is "bacterial SSU rRNA". The stretch from base 53 to 544 matches the Rfam family "Bacterial small subunit ribosomal RNA", at positions 912 to 1386 of the family's 1533-position model. Lineage: Bacteria; Bacillati; Bacillota; Bacilli; Lactobacillales; Streptococcaceae. The record is from RNAcentral.
CCGGGGAGGUACGACGACGACAAGUAGUAGAAACGUACGAAAGGAAAGUUAGGACGGGGGCCCGGACGACGAAGACGGUGGAGCGAUGUGGUUUAAGUUACGUAAGCAACGACGAAGAACCGUUAACCAGGUCUUGUACAUCCGAUGCUAUUUCUAGAGAUAGAAAGUUACUUCGGUACAUCGGUGACAGGUGGUGCAUGGUUGUCGUCAGCUCGUGUCGUGAGAUGUUGGGUUAAGUCCCGCAACGAGCGCAACCCCUAUUGUUAGUUGCCAUCAUUCAGUUGGGCACUCUAGCGAGACUGCCGGUAAUAAACCGGAAGGAAGGGUGGGGGAGUGACGUCAAAUCAUCAUGCCCCUUAUGACCUGGGCUACACACGUGCUACAAUGGUUGGUACAACGAGUUGCGAGUCGGUGACGGCAAGCUAAUCUCUUAAAGCCAAUCUCAGUUCGGAUUGUAGGCUGCAACUCGCCUACAUGAAGUCGGAAUCGCUAGUAAUCGCGGAUCAGCACGCCGCCGGUGAACUACGUUCCCGGGCCUUCGUACACACGUCGACGCGGCCG